This is a non-coding RNA of Camellia sinensis, 225 nucleotides long. Lineage: Eukaryota; Viridiplantae; Streptophyta; Magnoliopsida; Ericales; Theaceae. The record is from RefSeq and is a predicted model, not a curated record.
CCCAAAGAUACAUAACAAACACCCGAAGCACCCCCAAAUGAAACAACAAAGGACAUCAAAGUGGUUAGAAAUUGUGGGAAUCAAGUUUAUUAACAGCAGAAACUAGCACACAAAGACAAAAAGAGAGCUGGGCCAGCCGACCGCCAUAGCCGAAGGCGGCGGUCGGCCGGCCAAAAAUGAGGCCCCGGGGGUGGAGGUUUUGAGAGAGAGAGAGAGAGAGAGAGA